RNAcentral lists this ribosomal RNA (301 nucleotides) under uncultured bacterium. RNAcentral's name for it is "partial 16S ribosomal RNA". It matches the Rfam family "Bacterial small subunit ribosomal RNA", at positions 509 to 807 of the family's 1533-position model. The record is from RNAcentral.
CAGCCGCCGCGGUAAUACGAAGGGUGCAAGCGUUAAUCGGAAUUACUGGGCGUAAAGCGUGCGUAGGCGGUUUGUUAAGUCUGCUGUGAAAUCCCCGGGCUCAACCUGGGAAUGGCAGUGGAUACUGGCAAGCUAGAGUGUGUCAGAGGAUGGUGGAAUUCCCGGUGUAGCGGUGAAAUGCGUAGAGAUCGGGAGGAACAUCAGUGGCGAAGGCGGCCAUCUGGGACAACACUGACGCUGAGGCACGAAAGCGUGGGGAGCAAACAGGAUUAGAUACCCGUGUAGUCCCUGUCUCUUAUAC